GCGCUGGAUUGUGCCAGCAGGCCGCGGUAAUACGGAGGGUGCAAGCGUUACUCGGAAUCACUGGGCGUAAAGAGCGUGUAGGCGGGUUAAUAAGUUGGAAGUGAAAGCCUAUGGCUCAACCAUAGAACUGCUUUCAAAACUGUUAACCUAGAGUGUGGGAGAGGUAGAUGGAAUUUCUGGUGUAGGGGUAAAUCCGUAGAGAUCAGAAGGAAUACCGAUUGCGAAGGCGAUCUACUGGAACAUUAUUGACGCUGAGACGCGAAAGCGUGGGGAGCAAACAGGAUUAGAUACCCUGGUAGUCCACGCCCUAAACGAUGUACACUAGUUGUUGUGAGGCUCGACCUUGCAGUAAUGCAGUUAACACAUUAAGUGUACCGCCUGGGGAGUACGGUCGCAAGAUUAAAACUCAAAGGAAUAGACGGGGACCCGCACAAGCGGUGGAGCAUGUGGUUUAAUUCGACGAUACACGAAGAACCUUACCUGGACUUGACAUAGUAAGAACUUUCUAGAGAUAGAUUGGUGUCUGCUUGCAGAAACUUAUAUACAGGUGCUGCACGGCUGUCGUCAGCUCGUGUCGUGAGAUGUUGGGUUAAGUCCCGCAACGAGCGCAACCCUCGUCAUUAGUUGCUAACAGUUCGGCUGANAACUCUAAUGAGACUGCCUACGCCAGUA
This 672-nucleotide ribosomal RNA is filed under the name uncultured bacterium. RNAcentral describes it as "bacterial SSU rRNA". It matches the Rfam family "Bacterial small subunit ribosomal RNA", at positions 490 to 1164 of the family's 1533-position model. The record is from RNAcentral.